Gymnodraco acuticeps is the source of this 592-nucleotide long non-coding RNA. RefSeq lists it as uncharacterized. Lineage: Eukaryota; Metazoa; Chordata; Actinopteri; Perciformes; Bathydraconidae. The transcript is spliced from 5 exons. The record is from RefSeq and is a predicted model, not a curated record.
UACACUGCACCGUCAGUAGAAUUACCACUGUAGUGGUAAGCCACAACCUGUUUCCACCGCGUAGUAGCACCAGCCAGCAUGAACACUAAGGCAUGAGUGGCCUGGCCUUUGUGGCCAGGUAGUGUUGUGUUCCCAAACAGCCUCCCUGUUCCCAGAUGCAGCUCCACGCUAGGGGUGAUGGACAUCUCAUCCAAGUUGCCUCAUUAGAUCCUCCACGUGAGCCCGGUCACAACUGGCCCUUGGCAGUCUGGUCCCUGGAGCACCUGACGCUGGCAAACUGGCCUCUUCAUAGCUGACCCCUGACUGACUGGCUCCUGGCACACUGAUCUCUGGUGUGGUCAUCAUUCCUGACAGCUGGAGGCAUACUCCUUGACGUGGAUUUCCUCCUUUUCGGCUUAGGCCGAUGUAUAAAUAUUGUUGGAACAGCAUCUGGCCUCAACCUCAAAUUUCCUCCUGAUUUGUUGCCAAUAUAUUGGUCGUCUUCAAAGUGUACAUGUAGGGAAGCCAUACAUCCGGAACCCCUUCUCGGAUCGAUUAGAGCAUCCAAAUGCUGCACAUCCAACCAUGGGCCCAGGAAACAGAUGAAGAGGAU